This 484-nucleotide ribosomal RNA is filed under the name uncultured bacterium. RNAcentral's name for it is "partial 16S ribosomal RNA". It matches the Rfam family "Bacterial small subunit ribosomal RNA", at positions 30 to 507 of the family's 1533-position model. The record is from RNAcentral.
AUUGAACGCUGGCGGCAGGCCUAACACAUGCAAGUCGAGCGGAUGAAGGGAGCUUUCUCCUGGAUUCAGCGGCGGACGGGUGAGUAAUGCCUAGGAAUCUGCCUCGUAGUGGGGGAUAACGUCCUGAAACGGGCGCUAAUACCGCCUACGUCCUGAUGGAGAAACUUGUUGAUCGUCGGACCUCACCCUAUCAUAUGAGCCUAGGGUGGAUUAGCUAGUUGGUGGGGUAAAGGCCUACCAAGGCGACGAUCCGUAACUGGUCUGAGAGGAUGAUCAGUCACACUGGAACUGAGACACGGACCAGACUCCUACGGGAGGGAGCAGUGGGGAAUGGUGGACAGUGGGCGAAAGCAUGGCCCAACGAUGCCACGUGUGUGGAGAAAGUCUUGGGAUUGUAAAGCCCUUUAAGUUGGGAGAAAGGGCAGUAAGUUAAUACCUUGCUGUUUUGACGUUAAUAACAGAAUAAGCACCGGCUAACUUCGUG